This 545-nucleotide ribosomal RNA is filed under the name uncultured bacterium. RNAcentral describes it as "bacterial SSU rRNA". It matches the Rfam family "Bacterial small subunit ribosomal RNA", at positions 8 to 555 of the family's 1533-position model. The record is from RNAcentral.
AGGGUUUGAUUCUGGCUCAGAACGAACGCUGGCGGCGUGCUUAACACAUGCAAGUCGAGUGCGCGCCUGUAGCAAUACAGGUGGCGCACGGCGCACGGGUGCGUAACACGUGGGUAAUCUGCCCUCUGAUGGGGAAUAACCCGCCGAAAGGCGGGCUAAUACCGCAUAACAUUCCUUGGAUUUCGGUCCGGGGACUCAAAGGCGUAAGUCGUCGGAGGAGGAGCCCGCGCACGAUUAGCUAGUUGGUAGGGUAAUGGCCUACCAAGGCUUUGAUCGUUAGCUGGUCUGAGAGGAUGGCCAGCCACACUGGAACUGAGACACGGUCCAGACUCCUACGGGAGGCAGCAGUGGGGAAUCUUGCACAAUGGGCGAAAGCCUGAUGCAGCGACGCCGCGUGGGGGAUGAAGCAUUUCGGUGUGUAAACCCCUUUCGAUCCGGACGAAUACCUCGCAAGAGGGGUGACGGUACGGAUAUAAGAAGCCCCGGCUAACUACGUGCCAGCAGCCGCGGUAAGACGUAGGGGGCCAGCGUUGUUCGGAAUUACU